RNAcentral lists this transfer RNA (64 nucleotides) under Thrips imaginis (plague thrips). RNAcentral's name for it is "tRNA-Glu". Lineage: Eukaryota; Metazoa; Arthropoda; Insecta; Thysanoptera; Thripidae. The record is from RNAcentral.
AUUUAUAUAGUUUAAAAAACGUUAUAUUUUCAAUAUAAAAUUAAUGAACCACCAUUUAUAAAUU